GAUGAACGCUGGCGGCGUGCCUAAUACAUGCAAGUCGAGCGAACAGACGAGGAGCUUGCUCCUCUGACGUUAGCGGGGGACGGGUGAGUAACACGUGGAUAACCUACCUAUAAGACUGGGAUAACUUCGGGAAACCGGAGCUAAUACCGGAUAAUAUAUUGAACCGCAUGGUUCAAUAGUGAAAGACGGUUUUGCUGUCACUUAUAGAUGGAUCCGCGCCGCAUUAGCUAGUUGGUAAGGUAACGGCUUACCAAGGCAACGAUGCGUAGCCGACCUGAGAGGGUGAUCGGCCACACUGGAACUGAGACACGGUCCAGACUCCUACGGGAGGAAGCAGUAGGGAAUCUUCCGCAAUGGGCGAAAGCUUGACGGAGCAACGCCGCGUGAGUGAUGAAGGUCUUCGGAUCGUAAAACUCUGUUAUUAGGGAAGAACAAAUGUGUAAGUAACUAUGCACGUCUUGACGGUACCUAAUCAGAAAGCCACGGCUAACUACGUG
This 497-nucleotide ribosomal RNA is filed under the name uncultured bacterium. RNAcentral describes it as "partial 16S ribosomal RNA". It matches the Rfam family "Bacterial small subunit ribosomal RNA", at positions 28 to 507 of the family's 1533-position model. The record is from RNAcentral.